CAGCCGCCGCGGGAAAACAGAGGGUGCGAGCGUUAAUCGGAUUUACUGGGCGUAAAGCGUGCGUAGGCGGCUUCUUAAGUCGGAUGUGAAAUCCCUGAGCUUAACUUAGGAAUUGCAUUCGAUACUGGGAAGCUAGAGUAUGGGAGAGGAUGGUAGAAUUCCAGGUGUAGCGGUGAAAUGCGUAGAGAUCUGGAGGAAUACCGAUGGCGAAGGCAGCCAUCUGGCCUAAUACUGACGCUGAGGUACGAAAGCAUGGGGAGCAAACAGGAUUAGAGACCCCAGUAGUCCCUGUCUCUUAUAA
This 301-nucleotide ribosomal RNA is filed under the name uncultured bacterium. Its description in RNAcentral is "partial 16S ribosomal RNA". It matches the Rfam family "Bacterial small subunit ribosomal RNA", at positions 509 to 809 of the family's 1533-position model. The record is from RNAcentral.